AUACGGAGGGGGCUAGCGUUGUACGGAAUUACUGGGCGUAAAGGGCGCGUAGGCGGACCAUCAAGUCAGAGGUGAAAGCCCUGGGCUCAACCUGGGAACUGCCUUUGAAACUAGUGGCCUUGAGUCCGAGAGAGGAUGGCGGAAUUCCCAGUGUAGAGGUGAAAUUCGUAGAUAUUGGGAAGAACACCAGUGGCGAAGGCGGCCAUCUGGCUCGGUACUGACGCUGAGGCGCGAUAGCGUGGGGAGCAAACAGGAGUAGAAACCCCGGUAGUCC
This 274-nucleotide ribosomal RNA is filed under the name uncultured bacterium. RNAcentral's name for it is "partial 16S ribosomal RNA". It matches the Rfam family "Bacterial small subunit ribosomal RNA", at positions 523 to 796 of the family's 1533-position model. The record is from RNAcentral.